CGCACAUUGCGCCCGCCAGUAUUCUGGCGGGCAUGCCUGUUCGAGCGUCAUUUCAACCCCUCAUGCCCUAGCGCAUGGCGUCGGGGCUCGCCUGGCUUCGCCGGGACGGCCCUUAGAAUCAUUGGCGGACCCGCCGCGGCUCCGAGCGCAGUAGUAACAUUCUCGCUUAGGAGGUCCGUGGAGGUGCUCUGGCCGUAAAACCUCUGCUUGCAGAACUAUACAAGGUUGACCUCGGAUCAGGUAGGAAUACCCGCUGAACUUAA
Molecule: unclassified non-coding RNA, 263 nt
Filed under: Phomatospora striatigera
Lineage: Eukaryota; Fungi; Ascomycota; Sordariomycetes; Phomatosporaceae
Description: partial contains 5.8S ribosomal RNA, internal transcribed spacer 2, and large subunit ribosomal RNA
Source: RNAcentral